CUGCAGGGCAGCUGGUGGCCUUGGACCCUGAGACCUCUUUGCCCACACAGAUGGCCCAGCUCACUGGAGCCAAGAGGGGAGCUGUUUUAUUCAGUUCAGAGAAAAUAGCUCUGUGUUCCUGACACACCACCCAGCAGGAAACAUCUGAAGUGUGACCAAGAGGAGCAGAGAGAUAUCAUCCAUCUUAACGAGGUCUGGAUUUCUAAGAUGCGGAACUGGAGAAUUUAAACAUCUCAUCACCAGCUUUCAACAUUGUGCUUUGUGCUACGAUAGUGUUUUGUGUGCAUUUGGGCUAAAUAAACUCCAUCUUGAAAAUGAA
Mastomys coucha (southern multimammate mouse) is the source of this 319-nucleotide long non-coding RNA. RefSeq lists it as uncharacterized. Lineage: Eukaryota; Metazoa; Chordata; Mammalia; Rodentia; Muridae. The record is from RefSeq and is a predicted model, not a curated record. The transcript has 2 exons.